UUGUGUUUGUCUAUUUUCCUAGGAAAAACUUGAAACAUGAUUAACAGUCACUAUGUUAGUUUGUUAUAUUAAAUACAAAAUACAUAUUAUCAAAUUUCACAUAUUAUAAAGAAAUUUCACAUAUUACAGUCGCUAUGUUCUUGAAAACACACGAAACUAUAAAAUGUAAACAACUAAAAAAUAUAAUCAACAAUCACAUAUUCGUGAUUACCCAUAUUCAUGUAAUAUCAGUUGGUUAAUCAUAUAAAACAUUCCUAAAAAAAAUAAUAUAAAAACAUAACCCAUAUAAAGUUUUGAUAGCCCGACGUGAUUGUGUAACAUUGUCGCAUUAUAAAUUGUCGAACUCUUUAUAUAUCUCUUGUACCCGAAAA
Molecule: long non-coding RNA, 371 nt
Filed under: Salvia miltiorrhiza (redroot sage)
Lineage: Eukaryota; Viridiplantae; Streptophyta; Magnoliopsida; Lamiales; Lamiaceae
Description: long non-coding RNA (SMIL_LNC010537)
Source: RNAcentral